This 66-nucleotide transfer RNA is filed under the name Marmota monax (woodchuck). RNAcentral's name for it is "tRNA.Ala". The record is from RNAcentral. Lineage: Eukaryota; Metazoa; Chordata; Mammalia; Rodentia; Sciuridae.
GGUGUAGCUAAGUGGUAGAACAUGUGCUUAGCAUGCAUGAGACCCUGAGUUCUAUCCCCAGCACCA